UAGGCGACUGUCUCAGAUCUCUGGAGGUCUGCUUUAAGGCUGGUUUUUCUGCAAUCAAGGAAAGAAGGUUUCAAGGCGACUGUCUCAGAUCUCUGGAAGUUGGUCUGCCCUAAGGCUGGUUUUUCUGCAAGCAAGGAAAGAAGGCUUCAGGGCGACUGUCUCAGAUCUUGGAGGACUCCCUGCAGUCAGCCAGCUGUUUGUCUUAACACUGCUUGAACACAGAAGAGAGGGGAGAACUGCACCACAUCUGUGAAGAUCACCUGCAGUGGCCGCUUGGUGGUGCUGAGGUUGCCGCUGACCAGUGCAAUCAACAGGUGACAACAAAGUUCUGCAGCUAGACAGUGGUGAUGGCUGCAACAACCUUGAGAAUUUACUUAUGUCACUGAAUUGUACAGUUUAAAUUGAUUACAAUGCCUAGUAUUUUUUUAGCCUGCACAAAAAAUAAGCUCCAAAUGGACCAAAGACUCUAAUGUGAAGUCAGAAACACCGAAACUUAAAGAAGUAGAAAAUAUGGAACACAUACACAAUGGAAUUUUAUUCAUCUGU
Molecule: long non-coding RNA, 546 nt
Filed under: Rattus norvegicus (Norway rat)
Lineage: Eukaryota; Metazoa; Chordata; Mammalia; Rodentia; Muridae
Description: long non-coding RNA NONRATT031153
Source: RNAcentral